RNAcentral lists this ribosomal RNA (253 nucleotides) under uncultured Solirubrobacter sp. Its description in RNAcentral is "partial 16S ribosomal RNA". It matches the Rfam family "Bacterial small subunit ribosomal RNA", at positions 524 to 776 of the family's 1533-position model. Lineage: Bacteria; Bacillati; Actinomycetota; Thermoleophilia; Solirubrobacterales; Solirubrobacteraceae. The record is from RNAcentral.
UACGUAGGGGGCUAGCGUUGUCCGGAAUCAUUGGGCGUAAAGCGCGUGUAGGCGGCUCGAUAAGUCCGCUGUGAAAGUCGGGGGCUCAACCCUCGAAAGCCGGUGGAUACUGUCGAGCUCGAGUACGGAAGAGGCGAGUGGAAUUCCUGGUGUAGCGGUGAAAUGCGCAGAUAUCAGGAGGAACACCCAUAGCGAAGGCAGCUCGCUGGGACGUUACUGACGCUGAGACGCGAAAGCGUGGGGAGCAAACAGG